CCUACGGGAGGCAGCAGUGGGGGAUAUUGCACAAUGGGGGAAACCCUGAUGCAGCCACGCCGCGUGUGGGAAGACGGUCCUCUGGAUUGUAAACCACUGUUCCCAGGGACGAAGAUGACGGUACCGGGGGAGGAAGCUGCGGCUAACUACGUGCCAGCAGCCGCGGUAAUACGUAGGGAGCGAGCGUAAUCCGGAAUUACUGGGUGUAAAGGGAGCGUAGGCGGGGAGGCAAGUUGGGGGUAAAAACUACCGGCUCAACUGGUAGUCGCACUCAAAACUGCAGCUCUUGAGUGAAGUAGAGGCAGGCGGAAUUCGUGGUGUAGCGGUGAAAUGCGUAGAUAUUAGGAGGAACUCCAGUGGCGAAGGCGGCCUGCUGGGCUUUUACUGACGCUGAGGCUCGAAAGUGUGGGGAGCGAACAGGAUUAGAUACCCGAGUAGUC
RNAcentral lists this ribosomal RNA (440 nucleotides) under uncultured bacterium. RNAcentral's name for it is "partial 16S ribosomal RNA". It matches the Rfam family "Bacterial small subunit ribosomal RNA", at positions 338 to 795 of the family's 1533-position model. The record is from RNAcentral.